UACAUCGGCCGGGAAUCGAACCCGGGCUGCCCGCGUGGCAGGCGAGUAUUCUACCACUGAACCACCGAUGG
RNAcentral lists this transfer RNA (71 nucleotides) under Cordylochernes scorpioides. RNAcentral's name for it is "tRNA-Gly". The record is from RNAcentral. Lineage: Eukaryota; Metazoa; Arthropoda; Arachnida; Pseudoscorpiones; Chernetidae.